CGCGUGUACUGGUCCGGCCGGGCCUUUCCUUCUGGAGAUCCCCAUGCCCUUCACUGGGUGUGCGGGGGAACCAGGACUUUUACUUUGAAAAAAUUAGAGUGUUCAAAGCAGGCCUUUGCUCGAAUACGUUAGCAUGGAAUAAUAGAAUAGGACGUGCGGUCCUAUUUUGUUGGUUUCUAGGACCGCCGUAAUGAUUAAUAGGGAUAGUCGGGGGCAUCAGUAUUCAAUUGUCAGAGGUGAAAUUCUUGGAUUUAUUGAAGACUAACUACUGCGAAAGCAUUUGCCAAGGAUGUUUUCAUUAAUCAAGAACGAAAGUCAGAGGAUCGAAGGCGAUUAGAUACCGCCCUAGUUCUGACCGUAAACGAUACCAUCUAGCGAUCCGAUAGGGUCUAUCUAGCCUUGUCGGGGAGCUUCCCGGAAACGAAAGUCUUUCGGUUCCGGGGGUAGUAUGGUUGCAAAGCUGAAACUUAAAGAAAUUGACGGAAGGGCACCACCAGGAGUGGAGCUUGCGGCUUAAUUUGACUCAACACGGGAAAACUCACCCGGUCCGGACACCGUAAGGAUUGACAGACUGAUAGCUCUUUCUUGAUUCGGUGGUUGGUGGUGCAUGGCCGUUCUUAGUUGGUGGAGUAAUUUGUCUGGUUUAUUCCGUUAACGAACGAGACCUUAACCUGCUAACUAGUUACUCUUAUGUAAAUAGGAGGCUAACUUCUUAGAGGGACUUUGUG
This 728-nucleotide ribosomal RNA is filed under the name uncultured eukaryote. RNAcentral describes it as "bacterial SSU rRNA". It matches the Rfam family "Eukaryotic small subunit ribosomal RNA", at positions 670 to 1426 of the family's 1831-position model. The record is from RNAcentral.